Molecule: long non-coding RNA, 8903 nt
Organism: Felis catus (domestic cat)
Lineage: Eukaryota; Metazoa; Chordata; Mammalia; Carnivora; Felidae
Exons: 4
Source: RefSeq, a predicted model, not a curated record
AGGACUGGGAUGGGGGCAGGAGGAGAAAGAGGGAGGGUGACUGCUCCUCAGAUGUGUGUUUACUGGGCUACUAGCCUGCCUCAAGUGGUUGCUGACCGCUGAGCUGACAUGGGCACGUCUGAAAGACCUUGCAAUGGCUGCAGAAAUUGCCCCUACAUCUCCAAGGCUGCGCUUCUCAUAUACACUGCCGGUUAAGAAUCCCCUGAGUAGCUUUUGAAACAUCUCAGGGCCUGGACACCUCCUCCAGAGGGUCUGUUUUAAUUGAUGGUGGUGGAGGGGAGGUAUGGGUUGGUUUGUUUGUUUUUUAGGCUCCUCCAAGUGAUUGUGUUGGACAGCCAAGUUUGACCACUGUCCUGAGGCACCUGCCUUCCAUUCUUUAGUAAACAUGACCACAAAAGGCUGGGGGCGGGGAGUGGAGUUCAUCCAGCUCCCAAGAACUCUCAUCCUUGCUAACCAAACCAGUUUUCCCCACUCAGGUCCAAAUUCUUGGAAGAAUUAAAAGCCAGGGGGUGGUGCUUGAGAAGAGACUAGGGUGGGUUCUGUUGGAUGUUGAGCGAGCAAGUAUACUAAAGAGUACCACAUUUUAUCUUGUCAGUGUUCUGCUUUCGUGCUGUUCCCCCUAAUGUCUUUUUAUCCUAGUCUCAACGCCAUGAUGUCAUCAUAUUAGCUAGUAAUACAAAUUGACAAAAAGGUGAAACUGCUGGAAAAUGUGCUCAGAGGAAGAAAUUAUUCUCCUGUCCUUACUCUCCCUGCCACCAGCUUCAGUUCGGUUCCUUUUCAGGGAAAGGAGGGAAUUCCUUGUUCGUUGCAAGAAGACCCCAUGAGAUGUUUAUAUGAAUGCUACAUUUAUUAAUUACAGGAAGAGGUUUACUAUUUAAUAGGCCAAAUUUCUGAGGAGGAAGUGAAAAUAACCAGCAACGAUACUAACUAUAAACUAUCUCCACUUGCUGGAUUAAGAAAAGAUACAUCCACUGCUGAGUUUCUAAUCUACUGUGGUUCACUAUACUGCUUGAGCCUACGAGCUCUCCUGUUUGUUUUUUCAUCUGUGAUUUUCUGGAACCAUUUAACAGGCUAAAGGAAGGCUUUAACUCAUGAACAUUGCGUCCACAAUAGAUUCGUAAGCAGAGAGUUAACGAGGCCAAAUAGGCCAUUUUUUUCUGGCUGGAUUUAACCCUUGAGCUGUCACCUGUGGUUCCAGAUGGCCACGUCACAUUAUCUUUCCUCAUCCCUGAAAACCCCCUGCACCAAACAGCUUUGAUUACCGUCUCCAUCUAUUUCUGUUGUCCUAAAAGGAACAAAUGUGGCGAAUUAAAGAAGUGGGUAAACACUAGUAUGAUGCUGCAAGCAAGUACGCAUGUGCGUGUACAUGCACGUACAUGCAAACACACACACACACAGACACCCCACCUGAGCAGUGUCAUCACUACAAUCAAAUCCUAUGGUUGGCCCACCAGGGAAGGUAACCCUAAGGUUCUUCUGAAUUAAAAAUAAUAACAGCUGUGAUUCUGGGAACAGAAGAGGUAGACAAUGAGCUGGAACAGGAUGCUGCCCCAGGUGCUUAAACAUUUAGGUUGGACUCUUGAACCACAUUCCCUCCUACUUCUUCUGAGCUUCUGUGAUCAAACCCUGAUCUAUCAGGUUGCCCUGGAGCUCAGAUCUCCCUCCUGUGUUUCCAGGUUGCUUCCCCUGCCCCUUCUUAUAUCCUGUUCAUCCUUCACAGAAGCUCAAGACACAUCUUCUUCCAGAAAUUUCCCUGGCUGCUUUAGCCCCAGAGAAAUUUCUUCCUCCUCAAAUUUUGGUCAUGCUUAUAAUCUAGCCAUUCCACUUUGCCACUUUUGUUACAUCCAGCUUUUCUACUUUAAUGCAUAGUUGCAUCCCUAAGAGAUUAUCAUUGUGGAAAAUGUUGUUUAAAAAGCAAUUGUUUUGUUGGGGAAAAUAGAAAUUAGAGGGCAGAGAGCUUCCGAAUCACAGGAACUGAUUAUAUUUUCUGUACUCAUUUAAGAAUAAUAGAUGAUUGUAUAUAGCUAUGAAAUAUAAAUAUCACUGAACAAAUCCAGUAUCGGAAUAAGUUUAACCUCUGCUCAAGCCAAGUCCUUUGUCUUUUUAUACACAUUCUUAACACUUUUUUUUCAUUCAUUCAAUAACUCAUUCGUUCAGCAAAUAUUUCUUGAGCUCCUACUAUGUGUCAGACACUGAUCUAGAUGCAAGUGUACAACAGUAAGCAAAAGAGAAGAUUCCUCCUGCCACUGAAUAGACAUUAUACCAGGGCAAGUAAACAAUUUCAGACAGCAAUUAGUACCAUGAAGAGAAAUAGGCUGACAGACUAGAGAAUGCCUGGGCAUGUGAGUAAGGGAGCAAGCUUAGCGAGCCAAUGGAAUAUACAAAAGGUAACAUGCAAAGCCACUCAGACAAAAAGAUUCCAUCGCAUGUACAACAGGGUUUUGUUUUGCUAUAUAAAUCGAAAUUGCUACUCUUGAGACUCUGCUAGCUACCUAGCUUCAUUUUUAACACUGAAACUGAAGUAUGACUUCAUGCAGCCAAGUGCAGGAUCAGUGUGCAGCUCAAUAAAUUUUCUCCAAGUGAACAUACCCAUGUGUCUACCCUGAUCAAGAAGUUGAACAUCAUUGUCCCCCAUCCCCUAGAAGACCCCCUCGUGCCCCUUUUCAAUGACUAACACCCUUCCUUUUAUUAGCUUAGCCUGGUUUUUAUAUCAGUAUAAAUGAAAUCCCAAAGUAUUAUUUGAUACUCUUUUACUGACUACAAGUUAUUUCUCUACUAUGCAUUUGACUGUGGGCAUUCAAUUAUUUCCAGUUUGGGACAAUUAAAAAUAGUGCCAUCAUGAACAUUCUAGUUCCAGUCUCUUGGUCCAUAUAUGUAUAUAUUUCUGUUUAUUAUGUAAGGUGUUUUAUGUCCAGCUUUAGUAGAUACUGCCAAAGUAGCUGCACUAACUUAUGGUACAACUGUGGAUGUUUCCUCACUCCCUUAAAGUUGAUCUACAAAACUUCGUAGUGUUAUAUAAGAAAACGUACCAGUUCUUUUUUUCCCUUAAAGAUAGUGUUCUAUACGGCCUUUAAAGAAAUCCUUGUCUACAGAAAUCCUUGUCUAAAGAAAUCAGCUGCGAGUGGCAGGGGCUACAAAUUACCCCACUGACGUUUCUCUUGGGAAAGAGGUUCAUGAGAAUCCUCAGGGUAUUUCUUCCAGAAGUUAUAUGAAGUGAAUCUUAGUGGUACAUGGGGUGGACUGUAGAGGACAUUGCCAUUGGCCAGGCCUUGUGUUGGGACAUAUAUCUGGCCUUGUAACAUAUAUCUACACCUAGUUCUCUGAGCCUUUAUCCCUUUCUUCCAUUAUCUAUGUAGUGAUUCCUCACUGUGGCAUUUCUGUCUUCAUUGACUUUUCUACUUCAUUUAAUGUAGGCUAUUACUACUUCCAUGCCUGUAGAAGCCACUCUAACAGUGUGUUUGCAUAUCUUGUAGGGACUUUGCCAGGAUGUUACACUCUAUAUCUUGACAGAAUCUUCACAAAUCAAUAAACUCUGUUUUGUGGAAUCUUAUGUUUUGACCAUAGCUCCAGCACCCUCAGACUAUAGUCCCAUGCAUGUUUUCUGGCUCCUGUUGGUACAUGUUGGCUAUAUCCUGCUUCUGCUUUCACGUCUAGCCAUUUUUCCUCUCUCAUGAGGCCCAGUAUAGCCCUGCCAGAUCAUCUUGGACUUGACCCUUGUUAUUUACUGGCUUAUUGGCUGAAAGGAAACUAGGGGCAGAUCCUGGGCAGGGGGAAAAUAUCUGCAAUCUUCAAAUAAGGGGAAGCAGUCCAUUAAGGGACGUGCACACCAUUUGUAGAGGUUCAGCGGUUCAGAGGAAUCUUAAGAUUCAAGAUUUUAGUCUGCUUUAAUUCUCUUCUUUCCUGAUCAGGGCCAACACAUCACAAAUGUGCUGUCUUAGUCUGUUUGGGCUGCUGUAACAAAAUACCACAGAUGAGUGGUACUUUUACUUCUCAUAGUUCUGGAAACUGGAAAGUCCAAAAUCAUAGUGCCAACAAAUGUGGUGUCUGGUGGGAACCUGCUUCCUCUUACAGGGUGCCUUCAGGCUGUGUCCUCACAUGGCAGAAGGGAACUUGAAAGCUCUGUGGGGCAUGUUCUCUAGGAGCACUAUUCCUGGUCAUGGUGGUUCCACUCUCAUGGCCUAGCCAUCUCCCAAAGGACCCACCUCCAAAUACUUUCACUUUAGGGUUUAGUUUCAACAAAGGAAUUUGGGGGUGGCAGGAAGACACAUUUGGACCAUAAUUCAUGGCUAUGUUUCCAGUUUAACUUUUGGAGCUCCCUCACUCAUGAGAGUCCUGGGCUGUAGAAGAUGCAGACCUCUUUAUAGGCUACCAAGAAAGCCCCCUGGAUCUCGUUCUUAACUUUUAAUUGCCAAUUUAUCACUCUCAGCCUCUUGUUCUCUUUCUCCAAAGCAUCAGUGAAGCUUAGCGACAGCUAGCCAAACCCACUGUUCUUUGUGUUAUGGUUGCCACACGUCUCCCAAAUGCCUGUUGUUGUACCAGCUUGUAAAUUCCUUUCUGCCAGAAUGCUAUCCCAGUUUGCCACCAGUAACAACACUGAUUACACUGCUACCUCAUGCCAGGGGCUGUGUUCUACUUACCACCAACAAUGAGUCCUUCUUGCCAUUCAGGCAGCUGGCAGUUCGGCUCCAUGUUCACAUCUGCUUUCUCCACCCACUUCUCAUACCAACUGUUAUGGGUCUGGUUGCCCAAAAGCAGAAUCUGAGAUGAAGACCAGAAUGUGGAAGGCUUCUUAGUGCAGCUUUUGGGAUCAACACCCAUGGAAGGGAUAUGAGUGAAGGAGGACUGAACAGAGGGAGAAGCUAGAUUCUUCCAGACAAGGGGGUGUGGCCUUGAGCAAGAUUACCCUUUUUACCUGAGAAAUACUGGAGAGCUUCCUGCAGAGAGCCCUCAGUGGUACCUCACUUUAGAAUGUAAUAUAAUUUACCAUGUGAACUGAAUACAGAGUUCACAUGAUAAUCCCAGGGUUUUUUUUUUUUAAAGAAUUUGUCUGGAAACAGAUGUUGAAUUUAAGCAAAUGCAUCUUUUCUACCUAUUAAAAUAAUCAUAUAAUCUAUUGAGAUAAUUUUCCUGUAUUCCAUUCACAUGACAAAUUACAGUGACUUCAAAAUGUGAAACCCAGCUUAGAUUUCUUUUUACACACCUGUUGAUUUCAUUUGCUAGAUUUGUGGCAUUUGACUUUUAUGUCUAUAAAAUUUUUUGAGAGAUCAGUCUACAUAUUACCAUUUUGUAAUGCUUUAUCAUAUUUGGCUACAAAGGUUAUGCUGCUUUCAUAAAAUGAAUCAGAAAGUAUUCUCUCCAUUUGGAUAAGACUGGUAAUAUUUUUUCUUUAACCAUUUGAAUGAAUUCCUUGGUUAAUCCAUCUAAAACCAGAGUUUCUUUGGGAGGAUUCCUUUUCUUGAUUAGAUAUAGGACUAUUCAGAUUUUUUCUUUCUUCUUACGUCAGUUUUGGUAAGUUGUGUUCUUAUGAAUUUACUUAUUGCAUCUAAACUGUCAAAAGUUUCUAUUCAGAUUCUCAUCCUUUUGGAAGCCUUCUUCUAAACUUUCUACUUGGUUUUUCUACUCUUUGCCUUGAACUACUUUUGAAUUGGAAAUUGCUUUAAGUGGAAAAAUGAGUAUACUAUUAGACUUACUUCUAGACUUAUUUUCUUUCCCUCCAAGAUCUUGACCUCUCCAAUCUCCUUACCGUAGCAUCUCUCUAAUACUUUCAAAACCGUAUCUUUCUAAACUUUCCUCAGUGUUUCUAGUUGUUCUUAGCAGGAGGGUUGGUCUGCUCCUCCAUGAUAAAUGGAAAUGGAAGAACUUCCCAUAUGAUUAUAAUAAAUAUCUGACUGAUAAGUGCAAAUGGCAUUCUCUAAUUAACCUAUCUCAUAUUCAAAUAUUGUUAGGAAUAUUUGUGCUAGAUAAGAACACCUGUUUAUUCUUAUAUUGCACUCUAUUUGUCUCUCAUAUAACAAUCUUUUUAAAUAGAGUGACAAUGUAUCUGUCAAUGGAGAAGCAGAUUGGGAUCUAAGUACUGAAAGCUUAUUCAUGCAAUUUGAAAAUCACUAACAUUAUCAUCACUUUAAGCAUAUUAAAUGUUCUCAAUUAAUAUACUCUGUUACUAUCACUAUUAUUGUAAGUGCCUUGUUAUGUUUCUAUAAGAUAGCUCUCAGCAAAACAAUGAAGAAAAUUGUCACAGUAAUAUAAUUGGCUGAGAAUGACUUAGUUACUUACCAAAUUCAGCAAACUUUGUCUAAUGGACCAGCAAUAGUUAUGUAGAACUAAAUGCUUGAUUCUUUCUUACCUAAGAAAAUAAAAAUAAAAAAUAAAUAAAUUUUAAAAAAGAAAACUUAGGUUAUGAUCAUCACUACUUAUCUUAAUCUCCUUGUUAAAAUCAGAACUCAUCUAGUUUCAGACCAGACACCCAUAUAAAACAGUGUGACACAAUCAUAAAAUACAUAUUCUAGCAAAGAAAGGUUUAUGUAGCUAAAGCCAAGAGGUGAAAAACUAAUAAAUUCAAAAUUCAAUGAAACUGUCUAUCUUCUCUACUUAAAUACUUGAGAGAAAGGUAAAUUUUGAAGGAUAUAAACUCUUCCCAUUUGUCCAAAUAGAAGCCAACAUCAUUAGAUGGUUUCCUGCAUUUCUGUUUUGCCUUAGGAAGCUGCAAUGUCACACAACUCCAAAGAGAGAUUAUUAGCCAAAUGGCCAAUGAUUUUAAGAACCAAGCAUUUUAAGAACAACCAUACUUUCAGGAAUUAUGAUAGAUUCUGGCUGCAGGUGGAAACGAUAGUGGUAGGAAAUUUCAGCUGCUGGUUGCUUGGUUAUACUCUUCUCUAAAAUGUCUCUCGUUAACCUGAUCUCUCUCUUUAGAACUUUGCGUUUAAAACAAAGGCACACAUUCAAAGCAGGCUAUAAUUGCAAUCUUUCAGCAAAAAAGCAUUUACCAAAACAUGCCUUUCAGAAUGUGGUACAAUUUAUCACCCCCACGGUGCAUGACACACAAUUACAUUUGUCACCGCUUUAAUUGGAUAUUACAUGUCAGUAAUGACUCAUCAGCUCCAGAAGUUAUGAAAGAUAAAUUCCUUACUACCGAACCUCAGAAUUUGCUCCAAAAAUAAAGCUAAAAAAUCAUUUAUUUCUCAGUAAGGGUGGAAGCUACAUUUGGAAGAAACACUAAUCCCUGUUUCAGAAAAAUAACAAUGUAUUUCAUUUAUUGACAGCAAGAUGAUUGCCCACAGUGUUUCUCAUUACCCCUAGAUCACAAAUGAGUAAAUCACUGUCAGACAAACCAAGGUUAAAACUGAGUGUGUACAUUUUAACAAGGUGCAGCAAGUGAAUGAAUGAACGAAUAAUAAAUAAGUAAAUAAAUAAAUAAAUAAAUAAUAAAUAAAUACUUAAGGGCUCCAUCACUAGGAGAGAAUUACUAACCCAGAGAAUUUUUCAGAUCCUGUGAUCUGAUAGCUCUGCAACCCAGUCAAUGUUGGAAUUAAAUUAGGCUUCAGAAAAUGAAUAUUUCAUUUUUAAGAUUCUGUUGCUUGGAGACCUGAAAAGAGAAGGCUGGUUUAGCCCAAGACAAGAGAGAUGUUAUGAGGGCCAGCAUUUUCAACUCCUGGAAACUGCCAGAGAAUGCCUAGGAAAAAUUACACAAGAGAGAUGCAUCAAAAGUCAAACAGCAAAAGAUUAAGAAACCCCAGUGCCAUAUGGUUAUAGAUCCACAUCUUAUAUGUCAUCAAACUUCACUCUUCAAAUCAUGAUUUUAUUCUUUGAGGCUACGCAUAAGUUACUGGAAUCCAUAAAUGUUGUCCUAAUUUUGUGACUGCCAUUCUACACCAAAGGGUCAGUUCAAAGCAGCAGCAAAAUCAUACAAGAAAAGUGUUUUUUUCUGUGAUGAUUUCUGCUCAGCACGCAACAUGGAGGUUAACCACCUGGAAAAAAGAAAAAUAAACUGUAAUGCUAAGCCUGAAAAGCGUAUAUAUAACACUGUAAGAAUGACUGCUCUUUUCUGUACAUGUGAAUAAUGGAAAAUGAAAAGGUUGAUAUGCUAUCUGUUUAUAAAGUGAGGGCCAUCUUGCAGGCCAGGUUUGAUUAAAGAAUCAAUCUCAAUGGUCUAACUACAUCAUUUUAAAAAGAAAUCGAAGGGCGAGAGGCAGUCACUUCUAACUUUAGAGUGGGGCACUCUGGGAAUCCGCAGAGAUGAAUGGGAUGGCUACAUUAAUAGCGGGCUGUUUCCCUAUUGCCAAGACACCAAUCUGAUUGUUCAAGAUAAGGAACUCUCUUUGAAUGACUGAUGAAGAGCAAUUCUUCGUGACAGACGGAGACUUAAUUUUAACCGACUAAAACUACUUGCUGAAGAGUGCAGGAGCCAUUUCUGAGGUGUGAGACCGCAUGGGCAAUACACAUUUAAGGAAGAAUUUCUUUCAUGUUCUUUGGCACCAAAACGACUCCCAAGAAGCCAAGUGGAGAAUAAUCCCUAUGACAAAUAGGGACUGACAAGGGCCACCACAUCAAAAUUCUCCUCUCUUCAACUGCCACUCAUGAUUGAUUGACAGAGUCGAGAGUCCCUUUUGGUAGAGCCUCAAAGAUAAACUUAUUUUCAGUCUAAUAGCCAGUAGGAUUGUGUUCUAGCCUUUCUCAUGAUUGCUGGGCUCAUACUAAUAUUCCGUGUCCAGCAAGGACUAAGAGAAGCCUGUAAGGAAGAAAAGUAGCAGUAGGUUGCCUUGGAAAACUCUGUGCCCAUCAACUCAGAAGACACCUGCUACAAAGUGUCCCUGAUGGAGAGAGCACUUCACAAAAUCCGGAGUAUGUGCAGGAAGAGAUCCUCUAAUUCAGCCCUCUGUCUCGUGGUUAAAUAAUCACCAACAGGA